CCCGCACAAGCGGAGGAACAUGUGGUUUAAUUCGAUGAUACGCGAGGAACCUUACCAGGGUUUGACAUGCAAGUGGUAGGAAGCCGAAAGGUGACCGACCUUCGGGGAGCUUGUACAGGUGCUGCAUGGCUGUCGUCAGCUCGUGUCGUGAGAUGUUCGGUUAAGUCCGCUAACGAGCGCAACCCUCGCUGUGUGUUAUAUGUGUCACACGGGACUGCCGGUCUUAAGCCGGAGGAAGGUGGGAUGAUGUCAAGUCAGCAUGGCCUUUAUGUCCAGGGCUACACACGUGUUACAAUGGCCAGUACAAAGGGCAGCUACCGGGUGACCGGAUGCUAAUCUCUAAAGCUGGUCUCAGUUCGGAUCGAAGUCUGCAACCCGACUUCGUGAAGCUGGAUUCGCUAGUAAUCGCGCAUCAGCCAUGGCGCGGUGAAUACGUUCCCGGGCCUU
RNAcentral lists this ribosomal RNA (447 nucleotides) under uncultured Anaerolineaceae bacterium. RNAcentral's name for it is "bacterial SSU rRNA". It matches the Rfam family "Bacterial small subunit ribosomal RNA", at positions 920 to 1382 of the family's 1533-position model. Lineage: Bacteria; Bacillati; Chloroflexota; Anaerolineae; Anaerolineales; Anaerolineaceae. The record is from RNAcentral.